RNAcentral lists this ribosomal RNA (403 nucleotides) under uncultured Anaerolineaceae bacterium. RNAcentral describes it as "bacterial SSU rRNA". It matches the Rfam family "Bacterial small subunit ribosomal RNA", at positions 353 to 772 of the family's 1533-position model. Lineage: Bacteria; Bacillati; Chloroflexota; Anaerolineae; Anaerolineales; Anaerolineaceae. The record is from RNAcentral.
AGUGAGGGAUAUUGCACAAUGGGCGAAAGCCUGAUGCAGCGACGCCGCGUGGGAGAAGAAGGCCUUCGGGUUGUAAAUCCCUUUUCUGCGUGACGAGGAAGGACGGUAGCGCAGGAAUAAGUCUCGGCUAACUACGUGCCAGCAGCCGCGGUAAAACGUAGGAGACAAACGUUAUCCGGAGUUACUGGGCGUAAAGGGCGUGCAGGUGGUUCGUUAAGUCUGGCGUGAAAGCCUCCGGCUCAACCGGGGAAAGUCGUCGGAGACUGACGAACUAGAGGGCAGUAGAGGCGUGUGGAAUUCCGGGUGUAGUGGUGAAAUGCGUAGAGAUCCGGAGGAACACCAGUGGCGAAGGCGACACGCUGGGCUGCACCUGACACUGAGACGCGACAGCAUGGGGAGCGAA